UUUCCGUAGGUGAACCUGCGGAAGGAUCAUUCAUAAUAAGUGUUUUAUGGCACUUUUUUAAAUCCAUAUCCACCAUGUGUGCAAUGUCAGGGUUGAUUUUUCUCUCGAGAGGAUCAACCCCAAACAUCAACUAUAUCUCAACUCUUUGUCUGAAAAAUAUUAUGAAUAAAACAAUUCAAAAUACAACUUUCAACAACGGAUCUCUUGGCUCUC
RNAcentral lists this unclassified non-coding RNA (213 nucleotides) under plant metagenome. RNAcentral's name for it is "partial contains small subunit ribosomal RNA, internal transcribed spacer 1, and 5.8S ribosomal RNA". The record is from RNAcentral.